Molecule: ribosomal RNA, 460 nt
Filed under: uncultured bacterium
Lineage: Bacteria
Description: partial 16S ribosomal RNA
Rfam family: Bacterial small subunit ribosomal RNA
Source: RNAcentral
CCUACGGGUGGCAGCAGUGAGGAAUAUUGGUCAAUGGACGAGAGUCUGAACCAGCCAAGUAGCGUGAAGGAUGACUGCCCUAUGGGUUGUAAACUUCUUUUAUAAAGGAACAAAACGAGGCACGUGUGCCUUUUUGCAUGUACUUUAUGAAUAAGGAUCGGCUAACUCCGUGCCAGCAGCCGCGGUAAUACGGAGGAUCCGAGCGUUAUCCGGAUUUAUUGGGUUUAAAGGGAGCGUAGAUGGGUUGUUAAGUCAGUUGUGAAAGUUUGCGGCUCAACCGUAAAAUUGCAAUUGAUACUGGCAGUCGUGAGUACAGUUGAGGUAGGCGGAAUUCGUGGUGUAGCGGUGAAAUGCUUAGAUAUCACGAAGAACCCCGAUUGCGAAGGCAGCUUACUAAACUGUGACUGACAUUGAUGCUCGAAAGUGUGGGUAUCAAACAGGAUUAGAUACCCCAGUAGUC